Molecule: non-coding RNA, 205 nt
Organism: Oryza barthii
Lineage: Eukaryota; Viridiplantae; Streptophyta; Magnoliopsida; Poales; Poaceae
Source: Rfam
AAUAUAAGGUAUUUUGAGUUUUUGCUUGCAACAUUUGACCACUCGUCUUAUUCAAAAUUUUUUGAAAUUAUUAUUUAUUUUAUUUGUGACUUACUUUAUUAUCUAUAGUAUUUUAAACACAACUUUUCGUUUUUUAUAUUUACAAAAAAAAAUCAAAUAAGACGAGUGGUCAAACGUUGCAAGCAAAAACUCAAAAUCCCUUAUA